CGGAAGUCUGUUGGAGGGAGCGGGCCUGGGGGGCUGGGCCGAAUCUGUCUCGGGCUGUGCCGGCAGCUGCUUCGCCGAGGGAGGGUGGGGGGAAUACUGAAUAUCUUUCACUUGUCCUGGUCGCUGCUAGCGCAGUGUGCCAGUGCCGGGCCGGCUGUGCGCGCUCGGGAGCUCUGCCCGGAGGUUAGGCGGCUAUGGGAGGCUUCAGUGCUGUGCAGGGUGAGGACAGGGACUUGUUUCCUUUGGGUGCCGCUUUAGCGAGGUCUGGAGGGCCCCAAGGGCGACGUUUGGCUUUCUGUUUGCCUUCUUAUCGUGUAGAUGUUCGUCCUCGGUUCCCUCAGUCCUAAAUAAAGCCGUGUACGUGUUACGCACUCGUGGGUUUCCUCGCCUGUGGUAAACGCCACUUGCUGCGUGAGGACACGGAGCUAUGGGCUGGCUGCGCUGGCCCUGUUGUCUGGGACCUGCAAGAGAGGCUGUAAACUCCCCUCAGAUAAGGAUUGGCUUCUUAAAGAUGAUCUAAUGGACCUUACGUCUGUAAUUUCUAUUAAGCUUUGAAAGGUAACAGGACUCCAUCUGGCUCCUGUCCCCUGCCCAGGCCAUGCGGCACGGGUGGGGGCUGGGCUAGGCUGGGCUGGGCCUGCUGCGCCUCCUGGCUGGGAGAUGAAGCCUGUGGGACUCUCCCCAGGCCCAGGUCGGGCUGGGCUCUGGUACAGCCUCCGGGGAAGCCUCUGGGGUGGCUGAAGCUUUUUUUUCCCAGUGGCGGUCCAGAGCUGUAAUCGCCACUGAGCUGAAACAUGACAUCAUGAAUACCUGCUGUGGUUUGAGACAGAUUUUAACCCUUUCACUACCCAGAUGAGACUUGCAGAUUAAUAAUUUUUCCAGAGAGCGGAGAAGAGAGAGCGAAGAGACAACAUAAACUAUCAAAGACA
Non-coding RNA from Cyanistes caeruleus (blue tit), 929 nucleotides. NCBI's taxonomy places the organism in Eukaryota, Metazoa, Chordata, Aves, Passeriformes, Paridae. The record is from RefSeq and is a predicted model, not a curated record.